GGGCCCGUAGUCUAGCGGUUAGGACGCCACCCUCACACGGUGGAGGUCCCCGGUUCAAAUCCGGGCGGGCCCA
This 73-nucleotide transfer RNA is filed under the name Candidatus Bathyarchaeota archaeon. Its description in RNAcentral is "tRNA-Val". It matches the Rfam family "tRNA". From Rfam's summary of the family: Transfer RNA (tRNA) molecules are approximately 80 nucleotides in length. RNAcentral also lists the same sequence under 1 other name. The record is from RNAcentral. Lineage: Archaea; Thermoproteati; Candidatus Bathyarchaeota.